AGGUAAAGCAAAGUCUGAACUAAAGCACUUUUUUAAAAUAGCAAAUAUUUCUGGCUCUGCAAUCCAAGAUUAGGUUCGAUCCAAGUCCAAGAAACCGGGCCUAAAUGUCAAAGCUGUGGGCGUGUUGGAUCCUGAAGCCUGGAGUCCUCAGACAGAGAAUCGGGAAGGCGAUGUGGCCUGAAGGAGCAGCAGUUUUUCUGAAAGUGGCGGUUUACACACGGUUGCCUCAUCUGUCACAGCUUUUCAUACAAUCACGCUCAUAACGCAGUGAUGUGGGCUUCACGAGGCAGUGCUGCGAGCAGGACGCUGACAGCUGCCCGAGGCGCCAGCAGGAAAACUGACAGCUCAAAAACACAGAAGAAGAAAAAGAAGAAGACGGAGAGGAACACAACUACUGCUAUUUACAGAUGUGGUCUACUUGUGUGUGUGUGUGUGUGUGUGUGUGUCAGUCAGUCUCUCCUGACUGCAGUUUAGAAGCAGCUGCUUCACCCCCUGAGAGUACAGCAACUACAGCCUCACGUCAGUGGAACACUGCUGCCCCCUGCUGGAGAAACACAUACACAUAUAUACACAUACACAGAAAAUAUUAGAAUAUCGUUAAAAUUACUUAAUUUCAGUAAUUUGGUUUAAAAUG
RNAcentral lists this long non-coding RNA (634 nucleotides) under Astyanax mexicanus (Mexican tetra). RNAcentral describes it as "lncRNA (ENSAMXG00005006972.1)". Lineage: Eukaryota; Metazoa; Chordata; Actinopteri; Characiformes; Acestrorhamphidae. The record is from RNAcentral.